CGUUUAAACCAAAUUUAAUAUGGAUCCAGGCUCUCAGUGUCCCAGUGAAAUCUACCGUCAGUGGCAGAUAACUGGUUUUGGUGAGACAACUGCCAUUUCACAAUAGUUACUUGGUCGGAUACUUCAACCUUUAUCAGAAAAGGAGAGAGAAGAAAACGUAACUGGAAACGCAGCUCCUGACCGCGGAGUGGUGGCUGCCGCCCUUCCUCUGCCUCGCACCUUAUCCAGCAGCCUGGAGUGUUGGAUCUGUGUGCUGUGCUCCCAUCUCUGAGACACGUGGGGACAUCCUCUGGGACUUCCCAGGGCCUCUCAGCGGGGGCAGAAGCUCAGAAGAUGCAAAUAGAGGUGUGAGAGGAGCUGUUGACUCUGGGUGUUUACUUCUGGGGCCUUAUUUACUGCCUGGUUUUGAAAAGACUCCCAGUGCCACCCCUGCCCCCCAGGCCCAGAACAGUCCCCUCCUCGCACAGCUGUGCUCUCUUGUGCUGGAGGGGAGUGUGGGUCAUGGGCUGGAGAAGCCCAUCCGUGAGCCACCGCCCCAGAGCGGGGCAGAAUUGGCCACUGAGUGCCCGCAGAGGUCCGCCUGUGUUUGGAAUCCCCAAAGGCACUCUUCAGGGAGUCCUGCAGGGAGCUCCGGUUGCUCUCCACCAGGCUGACGCAGUCCUCAGCAGAACUUUGAAGGCUUGUCACUGGUAUCCAAGGUCUUGCUGCCCAGCGGCCAGGGCCAGGAAGGACCAGCUCCCCCAGCGCGCUCAAGGAGGAGGGACGUCUGGCCCCAGGUGGCCCCUGGGAAAUUCUCAGGCAGACAACCUGAGACGCCCUGUCCCUACACCUCCUCUGCAUCCUGCCUUCUGACCACUCCCUGCCCUGAUCUGCACCGGAAGGAUGCGUCUGGUCAAGGGCUGCAGUGAAUCACACGGACUAAUCAAAAGUGGGUCCCAAUGCAGGGAAGCAGGGUGGGCUGAGCUCAGGUGGUGUGGCUGAGUGAGAGGCGAGGGUGGGUCAGAUCGCCCACGGCGCUUCCCGGCACUGGGUCCUGGAAUCACACCGCCACAGACGCUGCUAUCCCAUUCUACAGACGAGGCCCUGGAGGCUUUGAGGUCUGGCCCAGCUCUCUUGCGAUCUCCUCACAGAUGUGGCUCACUGGAGCUCACUUUGUUACCUGGGGUCUAGCAGGUUUGUGGAGAGUGCCUCUCCGGCCGCUUAGAGCUCUUCUCUGAUGAAGUCUCAGGGGAUGGAAACUGAUCGGUCACCCCUCCACUCUGUACAAAAUCUCAGCAGCCCUCAGUCUCUUCUUCUCCAGUUUAGACAUCUAGACCACAGCUAAGAAUCUCAGAACAACUCAGAUGCUACCAAGAGCUCCUUGACAGCAGGAAAUAUAGACACCAUGGUCCUUACCCUCUGAAGUUCACAGUGACCUUAGCGGGACGAGGAAAACACACAGGGAGUCAACUUAGAAACCAAAGAGCUGCAGAUGAGCGCAUCUAUAUGAGCGAAUUUCCACGACCUGUCCACUAAAAUUUCCUGACAAAUAUAAACAGCAUGAUUAUGUUCAUGCAAAUGUCCCAAAGUGGGACAAAUGUGAAAAGCAUACUCACAACAGGAAACUCUCCCCCAGUGCCCAAACAGUUCUCUCAAGAGGUGGCAGGAGCCACCCGGGGGCCUGCAUCUGGCAGGUGGUGGAGGGGCUGAGAUUGGACCAGGCCGGGAGUCGACUCUUGAACUCCAUGCUACACUGAAGGAAGGGAGGAACCAGAGCUCUCUGCAGGCCCGGAAGCAGGCACUUCAAGCUUCUGCUCACAGGACUCCCUCUGCCUGGAAGCUCCCCUCCGCAUCUGCUGCCAACCUGAGAACAGUCUGCUGCCCUGGAGAGCUGAGUGGAGGGCUUCCUCUAGGGCGCUGUCCCCAGGAGGCCCUCUGACCCCCAGUGGGAACGCUGCCCCUCCCCCAGUCACAUAUGCAUUUGAAUACCUAUCUGUUUGGCUGCCUUCCGUCCUCAAGGGCAGGGGCCACUUCUUAAAUUCUGAAUCUCCGAUCCUUAGCACAGGGAGAGGCAGAAAGCCCCUGAGGCACACGAGUGGAUGUGACCCAACUAAGAGGGUAGAAAGCUCUGGUGUAGACCGAGCGCCAGAGUGAGAAUUCUCACUUAGGAGGUAGUCCAGGAAUCUGUAGAUGAGGCAGAAAAGCUUCCUCUUUCCUCUUAUGCUUAUAACUGGGGACUUCAAACUAAACUGACAAUAGACAGAUUAACAAGAAAAAAGGCACGCAAAUUUUAUUAAUAUGUCUAUGUGCAGAGGGUCUUCACAGAAAAGAAGUGCAAACCCCAAAGAAGUGGUUCAAUGUGGUGGCUUACAUACCAUUUUAACGGAGGGCAGUACUUUGUGAAGAAGGGACUCUUCAGAGACAGCAGGGCAGGAGGUGGGUUCCCUGUGGCAGGUUGGUAGGGAAUGAGAGGUGGAUAAGGGUGUUGUGCACAGUCCCUUCCAGGGACUGAGUUCCCCUCUUCCUGGGAUGUGGAGAGGGACACCUGAAACGGGGAGGCCUGUGUCCCUUCCACAUAGGGAGGUUCAUACCUCAUUUUAGGCAGAAAGCGGGAGUCAGAGGGUUAUCCCAGAGUCUGCUCUUUCUCAAUUGCCUUUAGUCAUAAAUAGUCCUCUUGCUAAAGUGGUGUAUUCUGCAGGGCACAUUCCGGUCCCUUCAAACUCAUACUAGAAAGGACACUAAAGCUGGGACAGCCAGUGAUUAGAUAAGGGCCGUAGGCUACAGAGAGUAAUCUUGUUGCUGUCAUCUUGGCACAGAGUAAGCACCACAGAGUCCUAGUUAUUUUUAUUUUAUUUUUGCAUAUGUUUUUAUUUUAAUAAAACGGUUCAGUCGUACCUAUUUUCAGGGGCACAGGGUGACAUCUCUACACCUGCACAGCGUGUAGGGAUGAGGGGGCAGCUGGCUUCUCUGAGUCUGUGCAGAGGGCGGUUGUGGCUGAGAAGUGAGGGGGGAGUCUGGAACCACAAAAGGACCUGGCUUUUCAGGGAACCGAGGCUGGCAGCUCCAGGGACUGAAGUCAGGGAGGAGAACAAAAGCGAGGGUGAACCAGGAUGAGCAAAGGCUGACGACCGGGGCUGAGUUCAACAGCAGGAUCUCGGCGUCAGGGCACAGGAGCCUGGUCACCCACACUCUGCACAGUGGGUGCCCACGGUGCCACAGAGGGCCUGAGGUGGGCAGGGCCUGGCUGGUGCUGCGAGGAACCGCCUGCCUAGCCCUGUGUUCGUCUGUUCAUCCCAAAGACGCCCCGUGGGUACCCGCUAGAUUUCAGGAGCCCUGGGCGGCAGGGCGCGUGGCGUGCAGGGCCGCUGUCUCCUGGCACGACGACGUGGUCACAGUGAUCCUUGACUUACUGAUCAAUUUAAAACAUCUCUGCUGGGCUCGCUGUUUUGAAAUCUUGAAAUGUCAUCUGUGAAUCACUCAGAGGAGGAAGCGCCCGGCUGGGAAAACCACCCGCAGGCGGACCCUGUUCCCACGGGAGGCAGCCCCCCAAGAUUGUGCCCCCGAGACCCGCCCACGCCCUCUGCAAGGCGCUGCCAAAAUGCCCACCUUUCAGGUACCCUGACUUCAGAGCAGGCAGAGGGGUCGGCGCCAGGCAGGCAGAUGUCUCAAACUGAAAGGAGAGCGAGGAGGAGAAGGAACCCAGGCUGCAGGAGUGGCCGGAACCAAGAAAGGACAACGAGGUGCAAGGUCCACAGGCCAGAAGCAGCCCCUUCUUUGGGUGAUGUCGCCAGAGGAUGCAGAGGAAAUGUGUCCGGCUGCAAGAUGCCACAGAGGGAGAGCUGGGGCCAAAGGCGCGUGGCCGUUCAGCGUGCUCCUGGUUCCAGGUGGCAGCCCUCUGGAGCUGUGGAAGUCCCUCCCCACCCAGCUCAGGGCACCACAGGUGCAGGAGCCACACUGAGGGCCACUUACCGCAGUGCUGGGAAGCCUGCAGGGCGAGCUGCCCACAGCCCUGGUUGGGCUUCUCCAGUAGGACUAAAGGCCUAUACCAACAGAGAAUGUUUAUGGAGGCUGCCUCAGGACUCUUUCUCUAAUGAACUGUAUCUGCUGCGAUAACAGGCUGAGGAGGGCCACCCAUCAUCCUCUGCGAGACCACAAGCAGCUGCAGGCAGUGGAGCAGGCUCACAAACAAGGGUGGAGAUCAGAGCAGGCGCUGGGGCCACCCCAGCAGGGAGCAAGAACAAGCUGAGCCCCUCAGCUCACAGCCACGAGCAGGAGGCAAACAACCUUCCAGAACCCAGGACACCAAAGACGACCCACACCAUCAUGAGGUGGAAGGUUUUGAAGUCACUGUCACUGUAGAUUUAUUUCAGAGACAUCCCCCACGGCCACAGUCCCUGAGGACUGCCAACCCAAAUCCUUGCCAUUCAGCAGUCGGGCCUCCCCUCUCGGGUUCUGCAUGGGAAGGGGCUCCCGGCUUUUCUGGACACUCUUAGGGUCAGGUUGCGGCACAGUAAGGUGGGGCCAGCUUUCGGGGGGGGGGGGCUCCGAGGUAAGCAAGCAAACCUGGAGACAGUGGGGCAGAGCGUCCUCCCUCUGCGCACUCGGCAGAUGCCAGCCACUCCUCCUCAGGGUUGUGGAGACGUGGCAGUGGUGGCAGGCUCACUAACCCCCGGAGUCGGAGUCGAGGACAACACCUGCAGACUGGAAGCUGGGGAGCAGGUGUUCUGAGGGUGCCGCUCCUUUCCCCCAGGGAGAGCCCCAGGGAGCAGCCUGGUCUCUGGAAGAGGCGGCCUGGAGCAACGGUGGGAUGCUGGGAUGCUGGGUGAAUUGUCCCAUGUGGUCUCCCGGGUUUUCACAAAGGGCUUGUGAGGGCGAGGAGGGGCAGCCCCGAGGGCAGGUGCCCUGCUACUCUGCACUCACCGCCUAACCCAGGGAGGACGAGCAGCUUCCUGGGGCACGUGGGUGUGGUGCUUGUCAUUAGUGUUAGUGCCCCUGGACCAGCAUGAACUGGGUGCUAAGUGCCAAGUGUUCCAGGAACAGCUCCUACUAGUUUCUUUUGUUGAACUGCAUCUGAUAAAAACUACUCAA
This is a long non-coding RNA of Sciurus carolinensis (gray squirrel), 5067 nucleotides long. RefSeq lists it as uncharacterized. The transcript has 3 exons. The record is from RefSeq and is a predicted model, not a curated record. NCBI's taxonomy places the organism in Eukaryota, Metazoa, Chordata, Mammalia, Rodentia, Sciuridae.